AACGAACGCUGGCGGCAUGCCUAACACAUGCAAGUCGAACGAGACCUUCGGGUCUAGUGGCGCACGGUUGCGUAACGCGUGGGAACCUGCCCUUAGGUUCGGAAUAACUCCCCGAAAGGGGUGCUAAUACCGGAUAAUGUCUUCGAACCAAAGAUUUAUCGACUUUGGAUGGGCCCGAGUUGGAUUAGAUAGUUGGUAGGGUAAAAGCAUACCAAGGCGACGAUCCAUAACUGGUCUGAGAGGAUGAUCAGCCACACUGGGACUGAGACACGGCCCAGAAUCCUACGGGAGGGAGGAGUGGGGAAUAUUGGAAAAUGGGCGAAAGCAUGAUCCAGCAAUGCUGCGUGAGUGAUGAAGGUCUUAGGGUUGUAAAGCUCUUUUACCCGGGAUGAUCAUGACAGUACCGGGAGAAUAAGCUCCGGCUAACUACGUG
This 433-nucleotide ribosomal RNA is filed under the name uncultured bacterium. RNAcentral describes it as "partial 16S ribosomal RNA". It matches the Rfam family "Bacterial small subunit ribosomal RNA", at positions 29 to 507 of the family's 1533-position model. The record is from RNAcentral.